Molecule: long non-coding RNA, 1621 nt
Organism: Fopius arisanus
Lineage: Eukaryota; Metazoa; Arthropoda; Insecta; Hymenoptera; Braconidae
Exons: 4
Source: RefSeq, a predicted model, not a curated record
GACGGAGGGGGAGGAGUCGCCAUGUUGAAUCUAACGGCGAAUGAGCCGAUCAUCUGUCUGUCCAUAUAGUUGGAAAAUGGAGAUGUUCUCUGCCCCAAAACCCCCUUUAUUGAGGAAUUUACUAGUUGAAGAAUUGUUGUUGAGCAAAUGAAAUCAAUCUGUCAGUGAUAUUAAAUUUUCUCACAUAUUCAUGUAUAUAGAUCUACUCCGAGUGGAAAUACUCUGAAGUACACGCAUACAUGAAACUUAUUAUAUGAUUUCUCUAUUAGCUUAUUAGUUUAUACUUAGUUUAUAGUGAUAUCUGGAAUUUUUACUGCUUCUAACAUGAUUUUUUGAAAAUAUUGCGAAAAUGUGAAGGGUUUUUGCAAAAAAAGUGUAAAGAAGGUUCACAGCUUUUACUUGACAUUUGUAUGAUAGAAAUUAGCUAAUUAACAUUUAGUAUAGUUCUUAUCAUAAUAAUAUUAUGCUGUUAUUUCGAAUAUGGUUAAAAUAUUCUGCUAUCAAUUAUCUAAGCAAUAUUAAUUUUCUUGCUAAUAAAUAUAUGUUAAUUGAUGAUAUUUUUUUCUUUAAGGUUGUUGUAUUUAGCUGAUUUGGGGUGACAAUACUGAGACAAAAUGGCAAGAACUUCAAGCGAAAUAUUGGUGAAAAGUUUUCGUUAUGUCCAUAGAAAAGUUGUCCGGAAAAAACAGUGGCUAAUGCAAUAAUCGGAAACUGCGCAGGUCCUCCCGCGAUGCUGGCGAUUUUUUGCAAACUCUACGAUUCCAUAUCCUAUCGGUUAUUCAUUAAGCAGAAAAAUUUCCCAAAUUUUCAACACUACCACCAAAGAACUAUCCCAAUCCAAAGUUUUCAAGGACUACGGGAAUUACGGACAGUUUACUAUCAUCCGAAUGGAGACUAUUCUAUGUUCUGAGGGAUUUAUUACGUUGACCCUUGUUUAGACGGCAUAAAUACAUGACCAGGGCCAGCGUUUUCACGCCAGGUACUCCAGCGUCAUGUACCAGCAAGUGCUACGUAACAAUAACACCAAACUUUCAUUUGUAUAUUCAAAUAAAAAGACCCAUUAAAUGCUUACUAAGGCAUGUACUUAAGGUUAUCUCAAUGGAUGAUGAUUAUCAGCAGGUUGGAGUUGUUACUAUUUAUGAAGAUCGUUACAUUACUUUUGGUCUUGUGAAAGACCAGUGGAGACUUUAUGAUAAUCAACGUAAAGCUAUCGUAUAUUCAUCACAAUCCGAACGGGUUGAUCCCGUUGGUUUAGUUUACAUUGUAAAGAAUGCAAUGCUUUGUUAAAAGCAUUGCUACAAAAAGUGCCAAAGCUAGUGAAGUAAUUGUAUAAAAAAAAACUGAUUUUAAAGUCUAAUAUUACAAGUUUUUUUUAUAGUUUUGCAAUUUAAUUCUCUUUACUUGCAAUUUGUUGUUAUCAUUUUUUGGCAACUCAAAGGAACUAAAAUGAUAUUGAAUAUUGCUGAAUUAGUAAUACAAUUUAAUAGAUUAGUUGUCUUCAUGUCGUACCUUUAAUUUUUCAUUAUUUUUACCAAAACUGAUUGAAUUUAUUUUAGUUUGCAACAUACUGUAUGUAAUUCACCUAGUAAAGCUGAUUCUGAAUGAAAAGUUUCAUCGAAAA